Molecule: ribosomal RNA, 454 nt
Filed under: uncultured bacterium
Lineage: Bacteria
Description: partial 16S ribosomal RNA
Source: RNAcentral
GGGGGGGGCAGGCACCCUAGCUNCUUAGCUAGCGGUGGUCGUGCCCUCUGCGGCGNUGCACCCGGCGCCGGCGGGCAGCGCGGGUGUACUUUCUUCCUCACACACACAGCGGGGGCGUACCAACCACACCCAACCGACGAGUGGGUGGAGGCCCGGCGGGNCCCCCCCCGGGUCCAGAGAGGGGCAUUCNAUUUCCUNCAGGNNUUUACCCCCCCCCCCACCCAACUUGGGGGUGGGNGGUGUUGGUGUGUUUUUUCUUUUUCUUCNUCUUCNUCUCANAUUAGAGAUUCCGUCCGUCUCGGCUGNGUGGGCGCUCUCUUCCUNCUCCUUCGCGCNACUGAGUGACUACGUAUACUCACCAUCGCACCAGCAUCGCAGGUNUCCUCGACGGCUCUCAUCUCUCAGCUNACUGCGCGCCUGAACNACGCUGCGCGCCCCGCGGACNUCGCGUGGG